This is a long non-coding RNA of Arachis duranensis, 936 nucleotides long. RefSeq lists it as uncharacterized. The transcript is spliced from 2 exons. The record is from RefSeq and is a predicted model, not a curated record. NCBI's taxonomy places the organism in Eukaryota, Viridiplantae, Streptophyta, Magnoliopsida, Fabales, Fabaceae.
CCCAAAUCAGUUUCCACUUUUCCCCAACCCUAAUCUCCUAACGGCGAACCCUCCCGUCACCACCUCACCUCACUCCGUCAGUGUCGCUCACCCAGCCACCGCCGCCAGCCGCCCGCCGUCAUCUCCUUCGUCUCACUGCCGGACACCGAUUCUAAACUCUGAAGUCUGAAGGAACAGAACAGAGUACAAACCCGCGGCUCCGCUUCGUCCCUGUCUCUCAUCGCCCUCGCCGUUGGCUCGCCGUUGCCGCGCCGUCGCCCUCGCCGUUGCAUCGCUCUUCUGCUCUGUCAAAUAGGUUGAGGCUUAAUUGAUCACGAACCACAUCUUGCAAGACACGUUUGAUGAAAAUGCUCCCUACACUGUUCACUUUGUUAUGGUUUGGAGUUAUGGACUCUGAAAACAUUGUUUAAGUGGCCAAAGCAAAUUACAAAUUCCACAGAAAAUAUUUUUUAGUUGGUUUCAUGGUUUAGUUGCUAGCUACAAAGGAUGAUCUUUAGUUGGUAAAUCCAAUGCUUCUUAAGAAUAUGUGCUUUUUUGAUCUAGAGAACUCAAAGACCAGAGAACUGGCAGAUUAAAGUCCACAUGAUGCUUCCAAUGGGCCUUAAGUAUAUAUUGCAAGUUUCUUCUUUCUUUUUGUUUCUUUCUUCUUCUUACAUUUAUUUUUUUUGUAUUUUCAGGGAUGCACACUGAUGCUUAAUUUUUUUAUGAUGACUCGAUUUUAGAGAAGUUCUCUGCGAAAAUUAGUGCGUCCAUCAUUGGUGUAAUUAGAAUGGAAACAUCACUUGGGAGAUACGAUAUUAGGGAUGUUUUUUUGUUUAGUUUGUGUAUAAUUUUAUAUUCCAUGAAUUUUGUUCUUUUGUUUCCAGGUUACCAAGUGACUAGAAGGAAGAGUGUGUUGAACAACAAUGUUGAAAGAAUGGAGUUAAGUUUGUGUUA